RNAcentral lists this ribosomal RNA (448 nucleotides) under uncultured bacterium. Its description in RNAcentral is "SSU rRNA". It matches the Rfam family "Bacterial small subunit ribosomal RNA", at positions 26 to 518 of the family's 1533-position model. The record is from RNAcentral.
AGAACGAACGCUGGCGGCAGGCUUAACACAUGCAAGUCGAACGCGUGUAGCAAUACACGAGUGGCGCACGGGUGAGUAACGCGUGGAUAUCUGCCUUUUGGUUCGGAAUAACCCCGGGAAACUGGGGCUAAUACCGGAUGGUUCCUACGGGAUAAAGAUUUAUCGCCAAAAGAUGAGUCCGCGUACGAUUAGCUAGUUGGUGAGGUAAUGGCUCACCAAGGCGACGAUCGUUAGCUGGUCUGAGAGGACGAUCAGCCACACUGGGACUGAGACACGGCCCAGACUCCUACGGGAGGCAGCAGUGGGGAAUAUUGGACAAUGGGGGCAACCCUGAUCCAGCCAUGCCGCGUGAGUGAUGAAGGCCUUCGGGUUGUAAAGCUCUUUUGGCGGGGACGAUGAUGACGGUACCCGCAGAUAACGCCCCGGCUAACUUCGCGCCAGCAGCCGC